Molecule: ribosomal RNA, 429 nt
Filed under: Bacteroidota bacterium
Lineage: Bacteria; Pseudomonadati; Bacteroidota
Description: Bacteroidetes bacterium partial 16S ribosomal RNA
Rfam family: Bacterial small subunit ribosomal RNA
Source: RNAcentral
UAGGGAAUCUUCGGCAAUGGGGGGAACCCUGACCGAGCAACGCCGCGUGAGUGCAGAAGGUUUUCGGAUCGUAAAGCUCUGUUGUUAAGGAAGAACGAGUGUGAGAAUGGAAAGUUCAUGCUGUGACGGUACUUAACCAGAAAGGGACGGCUAACUACGUGCCAGCAGCCGCGGUAAUACGUAGGUCCCGAGCGUUGUUCGGAUUUAUUGGGCGUAAAGCGAGCGCAGGCGGUUAGAUAAGUCUGAAGUUAAAGGCAGUGGCUCAACCAUUGUAGGCUUUGGAAAAUGUUUAACUUGAGUGCAGAAGGGGAGAGUGGAAUUCCAUGUGUAGCGGUGAAAUGCGUAGAUAUAUGGAGGAACACCGGUGGCGAAAGCGGCUCUCUGGUCUGUAACUGACGCAGAGGCUCGAAAGCGUGGGGAGCGAACAGG